GACGAACGCUGGCGGCGUGCUUAACACAUGCAAGUCGAACGGAAAGGCCCUGCUUGCAGGGUGCUCGAGUGGCGAACGGGUGAGUAACACGUGGGUGAUCUGCCCCUUACUUUGGGAUAAGCCUGGGAAACUGGGUCUAAUACUGGAUAGGACCAUGCUGUAGGUGGUGUGGUGGAAAGAUUAGUUUCGGUAAGGGAUGAGCUCGCGGCCUAUCAGCUUGUUGGUGGGGUAAUGGCCUACCAAGGCGUCAACGGGUAGCCGGCCUGAGAGGGUGGACGGCCACAUUGGGACUGAGAUACGGCCCAGACUCCUACGGGAGGCAGCAGUGGGGAAUAUUGCACAAUGGGCGCAAGCCUGAUGCAGCGACGCCGCGUGGGGGAUGACGGCCUUCGGGUUGUAAACUCCUUUCAGCCAUGACGAAGCCCUUGUGGUGACGGUAGUGGUAGAAGAAGCACCGGCUAACUACGUG
RNAcentral lists this ribosomal RNA (469 nucleotides) under uncultured bacterium. RNAcentral's name for it is "partial 16S ribosomal RNA". It matches the Rfam family "Bacterial small subunit ribosomal RNA", at positions 28 to 507 of the family's 1533-position model. The record is from RNAcentral.